CGGACGGGUGAGUAAUGUCUGGGAAACUGCCUGAUGGAGAGGGAUAACUACUGGAAACGGUAGCUAAUACCGCAUAACGUCGCAAGACCAAAGAGGGGGACCUUCGGGCCUCUUGCCAUCGGAUGUGCCCAGAUGGGAUUAGCUAGUAGGUGGGGUAACGGCUCACCUAGGCGACGAUCCCUAGCUGGUCUGAGAGGAUGACCAGCCACACUGGAACUGAGACACGGUCCAG
RNAcentral lists this ribosomal RNA (232 nucleotides) under uncultured bacterium. RNAcentral's name for it is "partial 16S ribosomal RNA". It matches the Rfam family "Bacterial small subunit ribosomal RNA", at positions 99 to 334 of the family's 1533-position model. The record is from RNAcentral.